GACGAACGCUGGCGGCGUGCUUAACACAUGCAAGUCGAACGGAAAGGCCCUGCUUUUGUGGGGUGCUCGAGUGGCGAACGGGUGAGUAACACGUGAGUAACCUGCCCUUGACUUUGGGAUAACUUCAGGAAACUGGGGCUAAUACCGGAUAGGAGCUCCUGCUGCAUGGUGGGGGUUGGAAAGUUUCGGCGGUUGGGGAUGGACUCGCGGCUUAUCAGCUUGUUGGUGGGGUAGUGGCUUACCCAGGCUGUGACGGGUAGCCGGCCUGAGAGGGUGACCGGCCACAUUGGGACUGAGAUACGGCCCAGACUCCUACGGGAGGCAGCAGUGGGGAAUAUGGCACAAUGGGCGGAAGCCUGAUGCAGCAACGCCGCGUGCGGGAUGACGGCCUUCGGGUUGUAAACCGCUUUCGCCUGUGACGAAGCGUGAGUGACGGUAAUGGGUAAAGAAGCACCGGCUAACUACGUG
This 468-nucleotide ribosomal RNA is filed under the name uncultured bacterium. RNAcentral describes it as "partial 16S ribosomal RNA". It matches the Rfam family "Bacterial small subunit ribosomal RNA", at positions 28 to 507 of the family's 1533-position model. The record is from RNAcentral.